UUUUUGCAACUUUCUUUGUUAUUCAUGUUAUUCUACCAGGUAUGCGAUUUUUUGUGUGUUAUUUUUUAUAAUUUUUUUUUUAUCUACGUGUAUGUAUAUUCUAUUGUUGCAUAUUUUAUUGUUUUUUUUUUCAUCAUACAUAUAUAUAAAUAUUUAAGCUUUGGUUUUCAUUUUAUCAUUUUCUCACUUUUAUCAAAUGUUUAUUUUAAACGUACUUUUAUUUAAGCACAUCAUAUGGGUGUAAACUUUCAGGCCUAUAUAAAAUAUUACAUUUUUGAAUUUUCUUGUUUAGAAGAUGUGUAAACUAAUAUCAUUUUUCACUGAAGCAAAUUUAAUAAAGCUUCAGUAUCUACUUAUUAGAAGCUUCGUAAACAAAAAACUUGAUAUAAACUUUUUACCCUGCUAUGAUAACAUUUUAAAUGUAAAAUAGUUAUCCUGAGCAAAUAAAGGUCUCAGAAUCUGAUGUUGAAGUUGAGAUUAAAAAAAUUAUUGGACCACAUUGCGUCACAAAUGUAAUUAAUGGAAUGGAGUCCUCGAAUUACCUAUUAUCGAUCGAAUAUCUGGCUUUGAUGGCAAUUCUGAAUUUUCUCGAAUUCGAAUUUUUUGUAUUCGGUAACUCUAUUUUCGGAUUUUUAAUCCGUAUUUCGAAAAGUGAAUCCGAAUUAAGAAAAUGUGCAACUAUGUAAUUCGAAUUUAAUUGUCAUAAAUAUUCGAGUUUCGUAUAAAAUAUUCGUUGGACUCAGUUAGCAAAAGUCAGCACACUAAACAAAGCCAAUUUGAAAUAAUGGUGGAGUUUAUGGAAACACAUCCAAACUUGGGCAAAGGCUACGUAAAAUGUGCCGACGCUAAACAAACAAGUAAACGUUUGUGGGAGCGGUUGAGUGAAAAAUUAAAUGGAGAUGGACCACCCAUACGGGACAUGCUUUCGUGGAAAAAGGUUUGGGCGGAUUAUAAAACCCACAUUAAGGCUAAAGCUCGCAAAAAUAAGUUGCAUAUGUCGGGGACAGGUGGUGGGCCUGCACAUGUUCAUUCCUUCAAUGCAGUUGAAUUACAGUGGUACUCCAAUAUAACGAAUGAUAUAAUGUUGGGACCGUUCGUUAAACUGAAAUAUUCGUUAUAUCGGAAACGAAAACUAAAUUAAUAUUGGUACAUAUAUGUUUAAAAAUAACUAUUUAUUCAUGAAUUCAUAAGCAUUGGUUGAAAUAAAUACAUAUACAAUGGAAAAUGCAUACAAUAAAAUUAAUAAAAGUUGAAUUUUAUAACAAAAAUAUGAGCAUUAUUCAACUGAAAAGAAAUUUGUUAUGCUCAUUUGCUUUUGUGGGCGAGAAAUUUUGAGAUCCUGUACCUUUUGAUGUAGGCUUUUCAAUAAAAAUAUUUUUUCCUGUUCCACGUUGUUUUCUUCAGACCAUUUGAUACACUUCUCAAAACAGUCGGCACAGCUACAACUGCAGCGGUAUCACCUUCCUCCUCUUCCGAAAUUUCUAUAGCUAGUUCAUUUUCAGCACUCGGGUUCUCUUCUACAAGUACAUUGUCUACACUGUUCCAUGCUUCCAAAUCAUCUGUGUUGAAUUUUGAUAUUCGCCUUUCUUUAACGAUUGUCGUCUCAAUGUGCCAGCAUGUGUACCUUUAACACUUCCGGCAAUUUUUUAAAAUUGUGCAAACACUCGAUUUUGGAAUACCAUGUUUCAAAAAGAUUUCUUUCAGGGUUUUCCCCUUUUUAUUUUCCCCUUUUUAUUUUCGUCAAUUAUUUUUAAUUUGUCACCCAAGCAAAGCCGCGUUUCCGAAUUGAAGGCAUUUUUAAAUAAUUUAUGCGAUAUCCUCACUUUACCACUUUGAACUCACAACUGAUAUUUCGCGCAAUGAAGCGUGCAUAA
Long non-coding RNA from Bactrocera dorsalis (oriental fruit fly), 1874 nucleotides. RefSeq lists it as uncharacterized. The transcript has 3 exons. NCBI's taxonomy places the organism in Eukaryota, Metazoa, Arthropoda, Insecta, Diptera, Tephritidae. The record is from RefSeq and is a predicted model, not a curated record.